CUAUUGUUAGGUCUGACAUCACAUUACAUGUGUGAUCUAAACAAUGUGGGGCUUGCUGGCAGUGAAGCCCCCCAGGAAACGUUCUAGUCUUGUGGAGCCAGAAUCUGCAAUGGUCACAUUCCCUACAUUACUAAAGAAAAUUUUCAGUUUCAUUGGAAGAUUUCAACCCUCUUCAUGUUGCUGGAGGAAAAGACUCUGGGAAGAAUCUGAUGUAAGAGGAGCUGACAGUCUCCAUCAUGUCCCUAUCCCCAGCUUGCCAUCCUGGAGACUUUAGGGGGACUUCCCCUUGGUGAGAUCUAAGACUUUCUUGCUUGAGCUAACUAUUCCCAAUUGGAGAGCUAGCUUCUUCACUCUGUAAUGUCUGCUAUAUUUUUCUCCUAUGUAUAUUUCCUCUGAUUUCUGUUUUGCCACCAUUUGGGGUAAAUGGAUUUUUCUUGACUAAGUGCUAUGUGUGUUUAUUGUGGAAUUAGUAUUUGGAGGGAAAUAGGUCAAACCUCACACCCAGAGUUUGGAAUCAUGCUACUCUCUAAUAAUGAGACACUGAUCCAAAGGUAGCUUCAACUUGAUCUUACCCAGAGAUAAACAAUUAAGGGAGCAGAUAGAUAUA
This 607-nucleotide long non-coding RNA is filed under the name Monodelphis domestica (gray short-tailed opossum). RNAcentral describes it as "lncRNA (ENSMODG00000032641.2)". The record is from RNAcentral. Lineage: Eukaryota; Metazoa; Chordata; Mammalia; Didelphimorphia; Didelphidae.